UACGUAGGGUGCGAGCGUUGUCCGGAAUUAUUGGGCGUAAAGGGCUCGUAGGCGGUUUGUCGCGUCGGGAGUGAAAACCUUGGGCUUAACUCAGGGCUUGCUUUCGAUACGGGCAGACUAGAGGUAUGCAGGGGAGAACGGAAUUCCUGGUGUAGCGGUGAAAUGCGUAGAGAUCUCCAAGAACACCCGUUGCGAAGGCGGCUAGCUGGGUUCACAUUGACGCUGAGGCUCGAAAGCGUGGGGAGCAAACAGG
This 253-nucleotide ribosomal RNA is filed under the name uncultured bacterium. RNAcentral's name for it is "partial 16S ribosomal RNA". It matches the Rfam family "Bacterial small subunit ribosomal RNA", at positions 524 to 776 of the family's 1533-position model. The record is from RNAcentral.